GACGAACGCUGGCGGCGUGCUUAACACAUGCAAGUCGAACGGAAAGGCCCUGCUUUUGUGGGGUGCUCGAUUGGCGAACGGGUGAGUAACACGUGAGUAACCUGCCCUUGACUUUGGGAUAACUUCAGGAAACUGGGGCUAAGAUCGGAUAGGAGCUCCCCCUGCAUGGUGGGGGUUGGAACGUUUCGGCGGUUGGGGAUGGACUCGCGGCUUAUCAGCUGGUUGGUGGGGUAGUGGCUUACCAAGGCUUUGACGGGUAGCCGGCCUGAGAGGGUGACCGGCCACAUUGGGACUGAGAUACGGCCCAGACUCCUACGGGAGGCAGCAGUGGGGAAUAUUGCACAAUGGGCGGAAGCCUGAUGCAGCAACGCCGCGUGCGGGAUGACGGCCUUCGGGUUGUAAACCGCUUUCGCCUGUGACGAAGCGUGAGUGACGGUAAUGUGUAAAGAAGCACCGGCUAACUACGUG
This 468-nucleotide ribosomal RNA is filed under the name uncultured bacterium. RNAcentral describes it as "partial 16S ribosomal RNA". It matches the Rfam family "Bacterial small subunit ribosomal RNA", at positions 28 to 507 of the family's 1533-position model. The record is from RNAcentral.